GCUAGAGACUUAGCAGAGAUGCUUUGGUGCCUUCGGGAACUCUGAGACAGGUGCUGCAUGGCUGUCGUCAGCUCGUGUUGUGAAAUGUUGGGUUAAGUCCCGCAACGAGCGCAACCCUUAUCCUUUGUUGCCAGCGGUUCGGCCGGGAACUCAAAGGAGACUGCCAGUGAUAAACUGGAGGAAGGUGGGGAUGACGUCAAGUCAUCAUGGCCCUUACGAGUAGGGCUACACACGUGCUACAAUGGCAUAUACAAAGAGAAGCGACCUCGCGAGAGCAAGCGGACCUCAUAAAGUAUGUCGUAGUCCGGAUUGGAGUCUGCAACUCGACUCCAUGAAGUCGGAAUCGCUAGUAAUCGUAGAUCAGAAUGCUACGGUGAAUACGUUCCCGGGUCUUUAACACACCG
This 404-nucleotide ribosomal RNA is filed under the name Kluyvera sp. COS202. RNAcentral describes it as "bacterial SSU rRNA". It matches the Rfam family "Bacterial small subunit ribosomal RNA", at positions 987 to 1392 of the family's 1533-position model. Lineage: Bacteria; Pseudomonadati; Pseudomonadota; Gammaproteobacteria; Enterobacterales; Enterobacteriaceae. The record is from RNAcentral.